AUCCAGUGUAGCUUUCUUUGAAUUUCCUGGUAAUUGUUACUGUUAUCAUGGUUUUUGAAUUUUUGAACUUCUCUGAAUUUGUCAUUUUAUUUUGUUUCAAAUAGCCGAUUGAUUGUCAUUAACAGUGUUUGUAAUUGAAACUUAAUACCUGGCAGAUCUAGUAGUUCCAGCUGCAUGCAUGAUACGGAUAGAAAUGGGUUGCCGUUGUUGUUUGCUACGUAAGUUGUGGGGCCCAUCUUCUCCCAUUCAGAGGUUGAGAGAGAUGCCUUCCGACGGAUCUGGAAGUCGGUUGUAUUUGGUGGAUGAAAUCCCGAGUGUUUAUGUCAGCGAUUACCGAUCGAGUGUGCAGUGUGGUGGGACAAGUGUAGGAAGCACACCCAGACGUUGGAAAAUCUAAUACUGCCGUAAUGUAUGGGAUGAGAGAUGUGGAUGCAAAACCGAUAUUGUUCUGCCAUAGGGCAUUCAGUUCGUGUGUAUCAAUUGGCGAGGUGAGUGACGUUGAAGUUUGUCCUUGUGUCAUUUAUAUUUUUGAAUCAGUUGAUGACUGCCUUACAAAUAUUAAAUAAUUAAUUAAGGGGAUUAGUGCUGGUAAAUAAAUUUAGAAAUAGUUGUUUGGUGCCCGAAAAGGGUGUAUAAGUUGAUGAUUUGGUUUGUUUCAUGUUGCAUCAGAAGUUGCUGGGUUUUUGGUUAUGUUUUAUUAUGCCAGUUAGAGAUCAAAGAAUUAUUGUAAUGUAAUUUGAAAACUUGAAUAUUGUUGGACCUACCAGCUGGGGAUGGAAUAGAAGUAAAAUGGAGGUAGAGAGAAGAUUUUAGCGUUUGUUUGAAUGAAGGUCGUUACGGAGUUGUAUACUUAUCGGAGUUAAAGCAAGAUUAUUUCGUUGUUUUUGAGAACAACGGGGAAUUUAAAUUCAAAUUCCUGGUGAUUCAUUUGAGUGACUCCGAUAUUGAUUAUUCAAGUUUGAUAAGUUUCCAUGAAGAUGACCGCUGUGUGGGAAAUAAUUUUCCGAUUCAUAUGAUGGUGAUCACUAUGGAAACCUCUGAAACUUGAGUAAUCAAUUUCGGAGGCAGCCAAACGAAUCGCCGCGGAUUUAAAUUUGGAUUCUCCUUUGUACUUAAAUGCCACGAGAAACUCUUGCUUUAGUUCUGAUCACUCUACAACUCUGUCUCAGCGUUCUUUCAGUCAAACACUGUCAUUUUUUUUCUUGCUCCAUUUUACUUCUAUUUUAUCCCCGUUGGUAGCUCCAACAAUAUUUGUUUCCGCAGGCUACUCGAAAAUUUCUGUUUUAAGAAAUUCGAUGGUACCUCGUGAUGUUGCCAACAUGGUCUUCUAAUGAUUGUUGUUAGCACGAAAAUACAAUAGGAAUGCACGAAAUUGAAACUGAUAUGAUGUAUAAUCUCUUUUGCCGUCGAAAAAUUACGCAAUAGAAAUAAUAUAUACAGUGAAAUUUUUUUUGAUGUGCAUGUAAUUGUCGCUGACUUCCCGAGGACGAGGCCCACAACGGGGGAUUAGAAAAUGUUGCGUGCGCGCAUUGGAAAAUACGGGGAAGAAUGCAAAGUUUAUGCCGACAUGUACCGUCGUCUUUGGCUAUAAAUCCUGUUUUCGUCAGGAGGGAAGGCAAGAGCGAAGCAAUUUAAAGUGAGCAAAUGUCAGAAACGGGAUUUACAUUCUGCGCAACAUGAAAAGGAUAUUUUGUUGGAGAGUGAAAGCUUUAUUAGCAUCAGACUAAUGUUGCAUCUUCCUGCAUUGCUUUGCCUUGGUUCUUCAGUUUUAGUGG
This is a non-coding RNA of Arachis ipaensis, 1775 nucleotides long. Lineage: Eukaryota; Viridiplantae; Streptophyta; Magnoliopsida; Fabales; Fabaceae. The record is from RefSeq and is a predicted model, not a curated record.